GGUCCAUUUUCUAUCUCGGGUGUCAUGGAUUCGCGAUUUCCAACCGUCUAAAUCUAUUAUGGGUUUCUGACCAUCUUUUGGCAUCGGCUAUCUCGGUCAUGAUCACUAAACGAAUAGUGGGUAUGAGAUUUAUCGAUACACUAGAGGUUGCAAAAUUUUUGUGAAAAUAUUCUGUGAUUUGGUUAGCCGACUAAAUGAAAACUUCAUUUCACUUCAAACUACGACUACUGUAUUUAUCAAAUCUUUAAUUUGCCGCAUUAUUUAGAAAAAUGGCGAUACUGGAAGCUAUUGUCAAAUGAUUGUCAAAACAAACUGCAAGGAACCAUCCAAAACAGAGAUUGAUUUUGGAUGGCGCCUUUAAGAAAAGUCUCAGAUCGACAAAUGGACAUUUUGUUGGAGUUCGUUGAAAGACAUAAAGAGCUUGCUGUUGGCCGGUACCCUCCCGGCCCACUAGGCAUACAAUCAGCACGUUGGCUAUGGGACAGUGCAGCAUUACAAAUACCUAUAUGAAUUAUAUUCAAUUGGGUCUGGAGUUACAAAAACUGGUAAAAAAUUCUGACGGGCAUUCACAUGAAAAGUGACAAUGUGCAAUCAUAACUUAAAGGUUAAAGUAGAAAAAUUAUUUUAAUAAUGAUUAUAGUAAGACUGGUAGAAGCAAAAUGUGAUAAGAAGUUAUGUGAUUUAAAAUCAAAAAUAAAAGCCAUUAAUAUAAAUUGUGUUUUUUAUUACUAAAUUAUACAUAUACAGCAAAAAUCAGCCUAUCAGUCAUGUUAUUUUAGUUCCUUGAAAUUCACAGCCUCUGGACAAGGUUGGCCCUCAUGCGCCCUGCAUCUGCAUCAGCAGCACCAUAAGCCACGUUACCAAUAUGCUGCACCCGAAUGUUACCAGCAGCAGGCAAGUUGUCGUCACUGGUAUAUUGUGUGCAUUUGCUAUAUUGUGUAGUAUACAGCAGUCAUUUACUAUUUUCGCAGCUUUGGUGGGCUCAUAGUGAAGCACACGGUGUGCCAGCAAACAUCUCCAGCGUGUUUUAAGGGCCCCAAUGCACCGCUCCACAGUAUUUCUGACACGGCAAUGUAGAU
Non-coding RNA from Plutella xylostella (diamondback moth), 1079 nucleotides. The record is from RefSeq and is a predicted model, not a curated record. NCBI's taxonomy places the organism in Eukaryota, Metazoa, Arthropoda, Insecta, Lepidoptera, Plutellidae.